AUUGAACGCUGGCGGCAGGCCUAACACAUGCAAGUCGAGCGGAUGAAGGGAGCUUGCUCCUGGAUUCAGCGGCGGACGGGUGAGUAAUGCCUAGGAAUCUGCCUGGUAGUGGGGGAUAACGUCCGGAAACGGGCGCUAAUACCGCAUACGUCCUGAGGGAGAAAGUGGGGGAUCUUCGGACCUCACGCUAUCAGAUGAGCCUAGGUCGGAUUAGCUAGUUGGUGGGGUAAAGGCCUACCAAGGCGACGAUCCGUAACUGGUCUGAGAGGAUGAUCAGUCACACUGGAACUGAGACACGGUCCAGACUCCGACGGGAGGCAGCAGUGGGGAAUAUUGGACAAUGGGCGAAAGCCUGAUCCAGCCAUGCCGCGUGUGUGCAGAAGGUCUUCGGAUUGUAAAGCACUUUAAGUUGGGAGGAAGGGCAGUAAGUUAAUACCUUGCUGUUUUGACGUUACCAACAGAAUAAGCACCGGCUAACUUCGUG
This 484-nucleotide ribosomal RNA is filed under the name uncultured bacterium. Its description in RNAcentral is "partial 16S ribosomal RNA". It matches the Rfam family "Bacterial small subunit ribosomal RNA", at positions 30 to 507 of the family's 1533-position model. The record is from RNAcentral.